CGUUUAGCACCACAGCUAUUCAUGACUGGACUUGGACCAAGACUGGGCGUAGAAAAAUCAUUGUAGCCUUGGAAGCAGAGUCUGUGACUGUGAGCUGGGGGAUUAAUGUGAUGGGCUUGGGGGUGAGCUCUUUGUCUCAGCUUCAUCAAUGGCGAAGUGUCCAUUUAAACAUCUAGGUGUUGAUGCGAUGUGUGAUUUUCCAAGGCAUUUGGCUUUUAUGUCCUCAUUUCAGAGAGAACCAUCUGUGGAUGGCUAUCUGGAGCCCCACAGCAGUGGAAUGAUGGGAAAGUCCUUUCAAAUUACAAGGAAGAUUAGCUCCCAUCAUCCACACAGACUUCAAGAAACUCAGAUGGUGUCCUGAGGAUCCCCUGUAGCUCACCCCAAACCUAAUCUUUCUAAGAAGUUCUAGUUCUUUUCUAAAACAGCAUUUUAUGAAGUCCAGCCCCUGAGUUGCAGAGUAGUCAGUGACCAAACAAGCCUGUCUUAGGAGAGUGACAGUCUUUCAACUCCAGGACAGCCGCAAAACAGACUCCCUUUUAUUUAGGACAAUGUAUUAUUAAUGCAGCAAAGUGUUUUACCUUUCUCCAAAGAGACAAUCUGGAGGGAUGGAGGGAUGGAUAAAAUAUCCUUAUCCAUCACCCGAGCUUGUUAGAGUGUUAAAUUCUACUUUCAAACUUCUUCAAACUCUAAUCCUUAAAUCAUUCUCUCCACCCCACUAGCAGCCCUCCCACCAUUCUGGCUGCACCAGCUCUUUCUCCAGAAUUAUUCCCACCUGAGGGCCACCAGGGCCUCCCAAGGCUCCCAUUAUCCCACUGCCUCCCCGCACAUCGGGGUCUGCCACUCCCUGACGCAUUUGCUGCCUAAGCGGUCAUGUUUUGCCCAACACGUCUCAGAGCCAGUGUUGUUCUGGUUACAAUGAGGUUUUUAUUCCCCCUAAUUUAUGGGAUUAGAUAUUCAGCCAAGGCAGACUUCUCAAACAUUGAAGUCAUACCAUCUCACACAGCUUUAAACUUUUUUUUUAAAUGGCAAAUGGGGUUCAAGAGCUUUCUGAGAGGAGCUAGACUGGCCUGGAUGAGGGAUGUAGAAUAAUAAGCACAGAGCUGGAGAUAUUCGGCAACAGAAUGGUAGGACUCAGUAGGGACAACACUGGGAAAUCUGCAGAGUUGCAGCAGCUCGGAGCCUGCCACACAUGGAAGGAAAUAUGACGCUCCCCAGCAAUAUGUGCUCCCCUGGAAGAAGAGCUGAUGACUACCCAAAGGCGGGGCAGACAACUUGGCUUUUCUUCCUGUUGGUUUAUUCUUUGUUCUGAUGUGGCUGAUGGCAUUUUUAUGAGUCAAAAAAGCUUGAUGGUUGGGGAUGAACUGGUAUUAUGGUAUCACAAUAAACUCUGAAUCGCAAAAACUUCCUGAUGUGUUUGCUCAACUGUGAUUCUAAAAGAGCUUUGUAUCCUCUGAAAAGAGGCUCAGUACCUUCACACACUGCAGUUAGGAAGACUAACUGAGAU
RNAcentral lists this long non-coding RNA (1504 nucleotides) under Equus caballus (horse). RNAcentral describes it as "lncRNA (ENSECAG00000056807.1)". The record is from RNAcentral. Lineage: Eukaryota; Metazoa; Chordata; Mammalia; Perissodactyla; Equidae.